UAUAUGUUGAUGUAAAGAGCAUAAAAAGUUUUGAUCUUUUAAGAAACGGUGCGAUCCCGUUAUGUAUAA
RNAcentral lists this transfer RNA (69 nucleotides) under Cyclograpsus granulosus. Its description in RNAcentral is "tRNA-Gln". The record is from RNAcentral. Lineage: Eukaryota; Metazoa; Arthropoda; Malacostraca; Decapoda; Varunidae.